RNAcentral lists this long non-coding RNA (493 nucleotides) under Rhinopithecus bieti (black snub-nosed monkey). Its description in RNAcentral is "lncRNA (ENSRBIG00000046189.1)". Lineage: Eukaryota; Metazoa; Chordata; Mammalia; Primates; Cercopithecidae. The record is from RNAcentral.
UUGGGACAAUAUGAAAGACUCCUCUGAAAACUGACUUUUGAUAUUUCCAGGGAUAAACAAUGGAAAUGUUCUGACGAAAUGGAAUGGUUGCAUUAGUGUAUCAAUCAACCUACAGGUGGCCAUGUCCUUCGUCCUCUUGCAGCCUCUCCGCUUAUUGGACUGAAGGGGGACCAUGGUAUGAAUGGAGGCUACAAGCAGCAGUUGACAAGUGCUUCAGUACAGGAAAGACAACCUGGAAGGCCCAAAAUUUGAGAAGAACUUGGCAGAAGUUUGAAAGACACUGGAUACACAGAUGCUCAGGAUGAAGAGAUAACACCUUCUGGCUCAUCUUCUUUUUGCUUUUAAUCUACUGCUCUUCCAAAAAUAAAUUUUCAUUUCCUGUGAAUGUUACAGAAUGGUUUAGGUUCAUUGAGUGUAAGAACUAGGCACUUGGGAAGCAAAUAUAUUGCUUUUCUGUAAACUGAGUAGUAAGAGUAAAUAUCUCUAUCACAAU